CCCUGCCAUUUGUACACACCGCCCGUCGCUUCUACCGAUCGAGUGAUACGGUGAACCUUCUGGACCGUAGGGGCCUCGAGCCUCCUGUGGGAAGUUAAGUAAACCUUAUCACUUAGAGGAAGAAGAAG
This 128-nucleotide ribosomal RNA is filed under the name uncultured eukaryote. RNAcentral describes it as "partial small subunit ribosomal RNA". It matches the Rfam family "Eukaryotic small subunit ribosomal RNA", at positions 1651 to 1788 of the family's 1831-position model. The record is from RNAcentral.